CACCCUUCAUGGCUUUAUUUUUUCCCGUCAUAGUGGGUACUUUCUACUACACAUAAUUCAUUUUAUUUUAAACAUCGUUUUACUUGUUUAUUUAGUUACGUUUUCAAAAUGUUUUGGCUUAUUUGUUUUGGUCUUCUUCUAUUUUCUCAGCACUGGGCACUACAGUGGGAGGUGGAGUCGUUGUGUGUUCAGUGCUAUAACCUCCGCACCUAAGGAUAGCUUGUAAUGACUGAUGAAUGAAUGAAACGGAGUGACUUUCUCAGUCCUCCAAUCUGUCUCCCACAGGUGCGGUGGCCUCAGUCCCCCUCGCCCGCCCCAGCCUCUGAGUCCCCCUCACUGAUAGUCCCCCAGGCAGGGACCAGGAGGCAACACAAGGUCACAGCCCAGGCCAAGGCCAUGGCCGGAUGGCACAGUCCAGCCAGCAAAGCCCAGAGCACUCACUGCUGCUAGAGAAUGCAGUGUUUGAGAGAAAUGAUACUACCGCAUAGAGUCCUCGUAGAUUGGGGGACAGAGUGGGAGACGCAGGCCAAGCACGAAGGUGCAUCUCCCCCAGACAGGAAGAAUGAAGAGAUGAGUCAACAAGUCAACAACCUCCUCAGACAAGCAGACAAAAUAUGCAUUUCCACAUAUUGAAGAAUUUGGAUGCAAAUGGAGUCAUUAUAAAAACAUACAAGGAGGUAGGGAAAGGGAAAAUGAACACAGUAAAAAAUAUUAAAUUAAAGGCACGAAUGGGAUUUUUUUAGAUUGGAAGCCACUGAUAAGGUUGUAAGAGGGUGCUUAAAUCAGACUCCAAAGAGUUAAGUCCAGUCUUAGCUAACAGCACCUGCUGUAAGUCCAGGGCACAUUCAGCAGUAUUGUGUUAAAGAUAAUAGCAGCCUUAUUACAACAGACAGCGCCAUAUACAUUAGUGCCCACACAAUGUCACCUGUCUGUGAAUUCAGCAGAAUUUUGUUCACAGAGUAAUACAGGAUUGCCAUUGUUGCAGCUUAGAACUACACAUUCAUUAAUAGAAACACAAUAUCAGUGGCACUUCUAUGCAAC
RNAcentral lists this long non-coding RNA (1041 nucleotides) under Macaca nemestrina (pig-tailed macaque). Its description in RNAcentral is "lncRNA (ENSMNEG00000046056.1)". Lineage: Eukaryota; Metazoa; Chordata; Mammalia; Primates; Cercopithecidae. The record is from RNAcentral.